AUUGAACGCUGGCGGCAGGCCUAACACAUGCAAGUCGAAUGGUAACAGGAAACAGCUUGCUGUUUCGCUGACGAGUGGCGGACGGGUGAGUAAUGUCUGGGAAACUGCCUGAUGGAGGGGGAUAACUACUGGAAACGGUAGCUAAUACCGCAUAACGUCGCAAGACCAAAGAGGGGGACCUUCGGGCCUCUUGCCAUCAGAUGUGCCCAGAUGGGAUUAGCUAGUAGGUGGGGUAACGGCUCACCUAGGCGACGAUCCCUAGCUGGUCUGAGAGGAUGACCAGCCACACUGGAACUGAGACACGGUCCAGACUCCUACGGGAGGCAGCAGUGGGGAAUAUUGCACAAUGGGCGCAAGCCUGAUGCAGCCAUGCCGCGUGUAUGAAGAAGGCCUUCGGGUUGUAAAGUACUUUCAGCGGGGAGGAAGGGAGUAAAGUUAAUACCUUUGCUCAUUGACGUUACCCGCAGAAGGAGCACCGGCUAACUCCGUG
This 490-nucleotide ribosomal RNA is filed under the name uncultured bacterium. RNAcentral's name for it is "partial 16S ribosomal RNA". It matches the Rfam family "Bacterial small subunit ribosomal RNA", at positions 30 to 507 of the family's 1533-position model. The record is from RNAcentral.